UGUGGGGCUCGAACUCACAAACUGUGAGAUCAUGACCUGGAUGAAGCUGGACACUCAACUGACUGAGCCGGCCAGACAACAGGGAGAUGCAGUCAGACCACGUGCCCAGAAAGAGAGCCAGGAUGUUUGUAGACAGCACGUCCUGCCUUACUCCACAGCUGUCUGAGCCCCCAGCCUUCAAGAGCCCCUGGAAGUGCUAUCCAGCUGACAGUCCCCUCCUCAGUUCACUCCCACCCCAGGCUGCUUGCUGCUCUAAGAGCCCCUUGCACAGGGACUGCUGGAUUUGCCCACUAAGACUUGAGCCCCAGGAGUGGCCACACUUGGUCUAGACUUUCUUACAUGCCCCUGCUGUCCCCAGGCUUCUCUGCUCCAGGGGCCAGCUCCUCUGCCACCAGCUCUCUGCCAGGACCACCUUCGUCUCACCAGUGCCGACUGCUCAGGACCAAAGAGUUUCUCCUUGUCCAGCAGGUGCCACAGAGCCAAGCGCCAUAUUUAUGACUCUUCUGUACCCAAAAUGGAUGCCAAUCUGUACUGUAUUUUCAAUUCCAUGGAGUCUUUUCUAAUUUGGCUGACUGUGUUUUCAAGAAGCCUUGUUCCUAUUUAGUACAAGAAUUUCAGUAACAGUUACUGAAAACACAAGGCAAGUCGCUUCUAAAAAUGUUUUUAUUCCAUACCCAAAAAGAUCCACAUCGAAAGGGGAAAACUCUAUAUCUUACUCUAGAAUAUUGGGCCAUUUUUCUCCUCUUAUGUUACAUUGAUUUUCAUAGGUCUGUGUUAGUUUUUCCCUCUUUGGUUAUCCUUUUAGAGUGAGCUAUAUUCAGGGCGAGGCUGGAGACUUAAAUAUAACUCACCCAGUUCCAGGCUGGAAAGAGAGAGGAUAGUAGAUUUUCAGUUCAAUGAAUAAGCAGGCACCAUAUUUGUACAUUUUUGUGCACUUGACCUACUUUGAAGGCUUUCUGGACACCAUGAAAGAUGGAUACUUGGGGGAAAAGCUCUCUCUGAAGCACCACCUAAUCCAUUAAAUGUCCACCAGUCAAAUGGUGGUUUCUGUCCUAGGGUAGAAAUUAAAGUAUCUGCAGUGACCAGAAAUGGAACUCUGAUAGGCUGGUUGCAGUGCUGUCUUGCCAAAGAGCCCAGUGUUGGCUGCAGAGAGAGGCUGAAAAGUCAAUUCUGAGCCAUCGUUAAGGAGAUGACUUCACUUUCUCCAGAAUCUGGAGAAUGCAGAUCUCUUGCUCAUAUAUAGCAAGAACUGGCCGGGGUUCACAGUGUCCAAAUUCUUGGGUCAAAUAUGAAAAACAUGUGAUUACCCUGGAAGAAACGGAUGCCCAUUUAUUUGAGCUCCUAAAGAUAUGAAAAAAAAGAAAAAGACAUAGGAUUAAAAACAAAAGUGGAAUCCUUUCCAGGCAGACUGAGCCAAGAAAGGGGCCCAGGUCCUCCCCUUACCCAGAGCACCCUUCAGUCUUGGCAUCCUGUGCUUUGAAUCAGAGUCAUUGUCUGGCUCUAAUGCAAACACUGGCUUCAUUGUGAUUCUGCAGAGAGGCAGCCCCAAAUGCACUGCUUUCUACCCGCCUGGGGCUUCUUUGAGCUUAUCCCAUUGAGCUAUGACUCCGGCAACCGGCCAGGAGGGCCUCUAUCCAGGGUGGUGCCUUGAGAUUUCUGCUGAUUUAUUACACAAGAGCUGCCAGGUAAAUCCCUUUGCUGUCUCAUGGGAAAUGUCAAGUCAGGGGCAAAGUUUAGGUGCUGUCCAAUUGAAUCUGGGGGUUUGGGUCAGAAUGGAUGGUGGCCAGGACCUUCCUGUUUGUUAUACAUGCUUCUGAGGCUACUUGGAUGGACCUUAGACUCCCUGGAAAGUUCUAGAAAAAUUCUAGGUUCCACGAAUCAAGCGUGCUAAGGGAUUUUAUUGAAACCUAGGGAGUGAUGCAGUACACACUGAAAUGGAUGAGGUUCUGUGAACUGGACUUCUCCGUGGAGCUAAUAAAUCUGGGGAUUCCUCAGCCACAUUCCCCGGACUUCUCAUCCAUAGGUCCGUGGUUGAGCCGAGCAUUCCCAACGGGCUCUAAUGCAGGAGGGUCACGCGACAGGUUCCACUGAGAAAAACAGUGAUUUGUGGGGAUGUUGGCAAAGUAAACACUUGGAGCAGUAAAAGCGUAUGGACCAAGAAUGUGUUCCUCAGGAGCUACAAAAGGAAGACUACAUCCCGCUCCCACUGGAAGGUCGAGCCCUGCUUUGCACCUCGCCAGAUUUCCUCAGAAAGCAGGGUGCCUUGCAGACUCUAAAAAUAUGCAUUGCUCUCAGGCGAAGCUCUCCCAAAGGUCAAGGACAGUAGCAAGUAAAGGGAAGAAACCUUUCUUCUGUCAGGUGACUUCAGACUGAUGAGCUCAACUGGGAAAUCCCAGUGUGUUGUGAUAUCAAUCAGCGCCCGUCU
Molecule: long non-coding RNA, 2425 nt
Organism: Felis catus (domestic cat)
Lineage: Eukaryota; Metazoa; Chordata; Mammalia; Carnivora; Felidae
Exons: 3
Source: RefSeq, a predicted model, not a curated record